UACGGGGGGGGCAAGCGUUGUUCGGAAUUACUGGGCGUAAAGGGCUUGUAGGUGGCCAACUAAGUCAGACGUGAAAUCCCUCGGCUUAACCGGGGAACUGCGUCUGAUACUGGAUGGCUUGAGUGUGGGAGAGGGAUGCGGAAUUCCAGGUGUAGCGGUGAAAUGCGUAGAUAUCUGGAGGAACACCGGUGGCGAAGGCGGCAUCCUGGACCAUUACUGACACUGAGGUACGAAAGCGUGGGUAGCAAACAGG
RNAcentral lists this ribosomal RNA (253 nucleotides) under uncultured bacterium. RNAcentral describes it as "partial 16S ribosomal RNA". It matches the Rfam family "Bacterial small subunit ribosomal RNA", at positions 524 to 776 of the family's 1533-position model. The record is from RNAcentral.